CCUGCUGACAACACUCCCAAGUCACCAGGCCACUCUUUGUCCGCCGCCCUCGAGGGAGCCCAGAAUCCCAAGUGGCUGGAGCACUGGGGGACAGCCAGACACAGCUCUCCUUGGACCAAGUUCUCCAGGAGCGGGAUGAAGCCAUUGCCAAGAAGCGGGCAGUGGAGGCCGAGCUGGACACAUGCAAAGCUAGGCUGCGCGCUGUGGAGGCCCAGCUGCUGGAGGUCCUGGCAGAGAAACUGAGACUGAGGCAGGAGGUGGAGGCCUGGGAGGUAGGGUGGGAAUGCCAACAGGGCCUGGGAGGAGUGGGGAGGAGGCCACAGGAUUGGCCUUGAGCCUGCUUUCCUGCCCGCAGGAGGACAUGCAGCAGCUGGUGCGGCAGCGGGUGCAGAGUCAGCUGCAGAGAGAGUCCAGGGGUGCUCUGGGAGCCCAUGCAGACCCUGGAGCCACCAGGACCCCCUGGGUCAAAUUCCCUUGGGGUCAGGGACGUUGGUGGUGAGAGCUCAGCCUGGACCUCUGGGAGCAGUGUCUUUAUUCAUUAAAGUCUGAGGUCUGAUCACCCCCA
Molecule: non-coding RNA, 565 nt
Organism: Microcebus murinus (gray mouse lemur)
Lineage: Eukaryota; Metazoa; Chordata; Mammalia; Primates; Cheirogaleidae
Source: RefSeq, a predicted model, not a curated record